GUCUGGGAUACCACUUGGAAACAGGUGCUAAUACCGGAUAAGAAAGCAGAUCGCAUGAUCAGCUUUUAAAAGGCGGCGUAAGCUGUCGCUAUGGGAUGGCCCCGCGGUGCAUUAGCUAGUUGGUAAGGUAAAGGCUUACCAAGGCGAUGAUGCAUAGCCGAGUUGAGAGACUGAUCGGCCACAUUGGGACUGAGACACGGCCCAAACUCCUACGGGAGGCAGCAGGC
RNAcentral lists this ribosomal RNA (227 nucleotides) under uncultured Lactobacillus sp. Its description in RNAcentral is "partial 16S ribosomal RNA". It matches the Rfam family "Bacterial small subunit ribosomal RNA", at positions 136 to 354 of the family's 1533-position model. The record is from RNAcentral. Lineage: Bacteria; Bacillati; Bacillota; Bacilli; Lactobacillales; Lactobacillaceae.